UGGUUCCCACCUCUCAAAAACAAACAAAUUAGAAAGAAAGAAAUUUUUGGGCCUUUUAUGAGUUGAGUACUUUAUAUAAAAAGGAAAAAAAAAAUAGGAUUAGAAGAACAUCUGCCAGUAUUUUUUCUUCAUUAUAUUUUUCUGAAUUUUCUAUUUUGUGAGACAGAAUUUGCUGAGGACUUUGAGGUAUGAUUUACAGAGAAAUUUUUGAUGAUCCCUAACGUUACGUGUCAGACGUGUUUAAGGUACAUAGUCGAACAUUUAAACGUAAAUCUCACGAAUGAAGCUUUGUAGAGUUUAGAUGUUAUAACUAUUUUUGCUUAUUACACUGGACUUGUAUAGUUUUUGCCCGAGCCUUAUUUUUUGCAAAGCAGCUAUUGGCUACGAUAUUGAACAAUGGGUCGAGUUUAAGCUCUCCUCAACUUUGUAAUUUUAUUCAUUAAUAUGGUGAUAAUUUAAUUAUUUUUAUUUUUUAAGAAAAAAUGGCA
RNAcentral lists this long non-coding RNA (488 nucleotides) under Solanum tuberosum (potato). RNAcentral's name for it is "long non-coding RNA (STUB_LNC005084)". Lineage: Eukaryota; Viridiplantae; Streptophyta; Magnoliopsida; Solanales; Solanaceae. The record is from RNAcentral.